UACGGGGGGGGCAAGCGUUGUUCGGAAUUACUGGGCGUAAAGGGCUCGUAGGCGGCCAACUAAGUCAGACGUGAAAUCCCUCGGCUUAACCGGGGAACUGCAUCUGAUACUGGAUGGCUUGAGAUUGGGAGAGGGAUGCGGAAUUCCAGGUGUAGCGGUGAAGUGCGUAGAUAUCUGGAGGAACACCGGUGGCGAAGGCGGCAUCCUGGACCAACACUGACGCUGAGGAGCGAAAGCCAGGGGAGCAAACGGG
RNAcentral lists this ribosomal RNA (253 nucleotides) under uncultured bacterium. Its description in RNAcentral is "partial 16S ribosomal RNA". It matches the Rfam family "Bacterial small subunit ribosomal RNA", at positions 524 to 776 of the family's 1533-position model. The record is from RNAcentral.